GGUUUUAAAUGUUUUAAGUGCUUUUAAUUUGCUGCACCUUAAAUGGUUGCAGAAAGGCCAUAGUUCAAUGGUAGAGUAUCUGAUUUGCACAUUGAAGUUACAAGGUUCAUUCCCUGCAUCCUCAGCAUGAAAUUUGCCUGCUUCACAGCUGCUGAACACUGCAUCAAAAUCUUCAUCAAGCUAUCUACUAUGACUCCAAGGUCUCAUUCCUGUAGGGGAAGGGAGACUGAAAACUACUACUCAGCUCAAAAUCCCUGACUACAGUUCUCCCCACUUCCAUCAUAAUUCUCCAGUUCAAACAGACCCUUCUCUGAAAGCAAGAAGUGGCUCUGCUGUGAAGAAGGAGACUCUACAGGUAGAAGGACUCCUGAGAGCAGUUCCAAAAUAGGAAGCCCUGCCAGGGUCACAGGCGUGCCAGAUAAGAGACAUCGCAGACUCUCUAAUGGGGAACUGGGCCGUCAACCAUUGGUUUUCAGCUCUUGUGAUUGAGUCCAGGAAGGCAAGCAUUUCUGCAACAACAAGAAAAACAAAUAAAGUUAAUAAAAACAAAUUUAGAACAUCUUAAAAACCUGUCAAAAACAUUCAAAAAACAU
Molecule: non-coding RNA, 593 nt
Organism: Podarcis muralis (Common wall lizard)
Lineage: Eukaryota; Metazoa; Chordata; Lepidosauria; Squamata; Lacertidae
Source: RefSeq, a predicted model, not a curated record